CCUCCAAAGAGAGAUCGAGUAAGAGAGAGAGAGAGAGAGAGAGAGAAAGAGAGAGAGAUAGGCAGUGUAGUGCUGACAAUUAUUUGGUUGAACUCUCUCUUGGAUACUUCACGGUCAGUUUGCAGUUCGACGCCAUGGGUUGGUUUCAGUGACGGCCAGUGAGGAAGUUACAGUCUUUGUUCCACAACGACUCGUACUUUAACAGUCUCGCUGUCUCCAUGUGGUCCUUACGGAUUGAUUUCAGCUAAGUAUCUAUCUUGCCUAGAACCUGCGUGUUGGAAUGUGGUUUACUACAGUAAGAAAAAUACAGUAAAACAAAGUUUCCCGUUGCUGUUGUGUAUCUAGUUCAUCACAAACUGUUUUAGCAAGGCUUUUAAGGUGCCCUUGAUCUGAGAGGUUUAAAAUGGCGGAUUGAAAGAUUUGGAGUAAUUGUGUGAUUAGUUCGUGAAAUACAACUUUUCCAUCUGUUACAAAAGUGAGGCUUUCCUAAUUUUAGGUUUUGAAGUGUAUUCAUGAUUAAGAAAGAGUCUAGUUGUGCACCAUCCUGUGAUUACCAAUAAAAUUGACCCUGAUUGGCAGUGUAAAUAAAUUAAAUUUUUUGAUUUUUAAGACUCAAAGAUAUAAGACAUUGAGAUUUGUCUUUAUAGUUCUAAUUUGAAUUGUACUGUAUAUCAAAUUGUUAACGAAUAUAAAGGAAAUUGACCGUGAUUAUAUUUUGAAAUUUCAUCCUGUGGCGUUCAGUGUUCUGAUGGCUGAGAGGUCAAAAGUCUGGUUUUACGCAGCUCUCUCACCUAGUCUUGGCAGUUGGGCGUUUGUGUGAAACUGACUAGAUCCUACAUAAGCGUUGGUAAAGAAAUAAAAAAAGUGAUUGGUAACCUGGGUAGUCCCUUGUCCAAUAUAGCAUUAAUAUAAGAAUUAAUUUGGAAUCUCGAUUAAAAGGCUACCCUGCAGUAAGGAGUGGUUUUGGAAAUGGGAAACUGAGUUUGAUAAUAAGGUUUGCUUUGGUUGGAUGUUUGGUGAUAAGUGACCCGAGGUUAGAUGAAUAAUUAUAAUGGAGUUAGUGUAAAUGUAAAUUUGCACUGCAAAUGUAAUAUUUGGAUGAAGGGUAAAAGUUAAGGUUGGGGUUUUUUUUUAUGGACAACACGUAAUGCAUUCAAAGUUAACGCUAGUUUUAAAUUUCCUAAUUACAAUCCAGGACUACAGCAAUUAACGGGAAUGUUAAUUACACUGAUUAUUGAGGAAAAGACGUUGAAACCGUAUUUAGGAUAUUUAGGAAAUAUAGGACAUAUAAAAUGUGCUUCCAAGCAGGUGGGUGAUACUGGCAAGAAACAAAAAGGAAACUACCGGUUUACGUUAUGUUUUUACGGAUGGGAUGAGCUACUACACCUAACAAACGAGCGGUGAAGAUGACCUAACCACUUUGUAUUAAGUUUAAAAAGAUCAAAGUAAAGUUGUCUGAAUAAAUGUGUUGAAAUGCUUAAUGCAAUAAUGUGCAUGGAGUUAUGUCCGUUUAAAUGAGACAUUACUUUUUAUUGAAAACCUUAUAUUUUGUGAUAUUUUCCACGCAAUAUAGAUGAUCCAAACAGGUUACAGGAAUCCAGAGUAGUUCUUUUAUAAAGAAUUAUGCUAGAAAAAAAAAUUAAGUUUGUCUGGCCCUGGAAUAUGUAAGUUAGCAUUAUUGAGUUAAGAAUGCGGUCUAGGCUGUAUAUCGCUCCUGCACAGUAUUGUCAAUUGAUGACAUGAGAGCAAUACAUAAUUCAUAUGCAUUUCAGGGUUGUCUAAUUGAUUUUCGUCGAUAAAAUCUUAAAUCAUCGGAUAUAGAUCGUAUUUGGGAUAUAGAUUCGAAGCCACAAAAUAAUUGGCAAAAAUAUGCAGUUUUCGCCAAUGUUGAUAAUUACGGCACUUAGAGUAAAUCAAAGAGACUUAGAGGGAAACUUGGCUAAAUCUAGCAGCCUCUUAGAGGCUGAUAAAACUUCAUUACUGAAGGCCUUCCCACUCAUUGGCUUUGUAGUACGACGUACGUGAAUGGACGCAAGCCCAUAUACUUUGAAUGAAGACUCGGAUGUUGGUAGUAGUGGUAAUAGUAGUGUAUGGAAUUCGUAUUUUGUUUCACAAACACCUAAGUAGUGUACAAUAAGGGAAUGGGCAUCAAAUGAGAAUAUUAAUGGUAUAAUACAGUUCCAUGGCGCAAUUCACGUUUUCUUUUAAAAUAUUAUGCACAAAGUCUUACAUACACUAACUAACCCACAAUGUGAAAACCAUUGUUAUUCUGUAAUUUCAAGGAUACGUAAAGUAUCGUUCAAAUGCCCACGAAAUUUACUAAAUGGCCAUAAUGCCUGUGUGGAUAAAGACCAGUACUUAGCAAAUGAAUAAAAAUGCAUUUUAUAACAUAUUUUGUUUUUCCUAUGCACACGGCCAUGUAGUAUUGAUAAUGAAAUUAUUAAUCAGAUAAUCACAAUAUACAUAAUCAUACAUAUAGAUAUGUUACUCUUAUAAAUGCACAUACUUAACAUAGAAUAAAUUAUAUACACAUUAUGUAUGUAUGUAGAAUAAGCGAGUUGUUAAAAAUGGUCGUUGCAGGGAUUAAGUGGGAUAGUUUAUCAGUCAAGAAAAUUCGGCCAUUGUUUAUUUUUGGUCUGAAAAAUGAGAAAGGCCUUGAAAGAAAGAAAACAUUUGCAUAUCUCUCUUUUUCAUAAUCGUCAUUCGAGUAUUACCCCUGUAAAGGUCACCUUUGUCCCUUUUAUCUAAAUCGUUCGGAGCUUGUGUAUUGCCUUAUUAACCACUUAACUGGUGAUAUCUAGCAUACGACGCAUACGAUUCUUUUCUUUGUUGCAAAAACACGGAACACGAAAGCAGUCUUGUGGCCACGAGGACAAUUUACUAGGCUUGCCAUAGGUGAAGCAGCCAUCACGCAUAACCUGGGGUUGAACUAUGAAUGAUCAACUGCCCUCACCCUCUCGUCGGCUAUGUUUACUAUAAUUCAAGGUUACCAGGUUUAUCGGGCCAAAAUAUCGUACCAAACACCUCUAAAUGAUUGUAUUUUCAUUUCAAUAUGAUUGUAUUUCACCAGUUCCAAAGUUUUUGUACAACUAAUUGUCAAAGGGUAAAUAGAAAUUGCGUUAAAAUUGCUAUGUAUUCCUAUAGUCAACUUAACACUUUACAAUGAAAAUAGUAAUAUUGCCAUAUGUAUAUUUACAAAAUUAAUUUGUUAUAAUAUUGUCACAUGUAUAUGUACCAAAUUCUUAUUAAUUAUCCGUGGUAUCACCAAUGGAAACCGAAAUAUUAUCAUCAUUCUCAACAAGAUUUGGUUAGCCUUUUAAUACUUGUCGUACAAAAGGGUCAAAUAUUUGCGUACAUACUAAAUGUAGCUAAGUUUCCCUUUAAACUUCUUUUGAUUUACCCUAAUAAGUGCCUUAAUUAUCAACAAUAGACAUCACUGCAUAUGUGUCAAUGAGGCUGUGACUUCAAAUAGCGAUUUCCCAAAUACGAUCCAUAUCCGAUGCUUUGGUAAAAUCUUAUCGACGAAAAUCAAUUAGACCGGUCCUGAAAUGCACAUUAAUUUAGUACCACUAAAAACCUGGGGAUGGGGAUUAGGGACAAAAACACAGAACAUAAUAACACACAAAAGUCCGUUCCCUCUGCUGGUCCAGAGAGGGAACACGAAUCCGCUGACUAUGAAACCCCAAAGCAGUUGAACAAGUAUAUAAUACUGUAUCUAAUAUCGUUAAGAAAGUGAUCAUCAAGUUUUUGCUGUUGAUGAUAAGGGGUUUGAGUGUAAAAUGUGCUACCAAAGGCAUACCUCUUACCACAGGUAUGGGGUAGCGUCAUCCUUAAGCCUUUGAAAGUAUGUGUUAAUUUGAAAAGGGUCAACACCUUAAUAUUGUUUGUGGAUCAAUAGUUUUCGUGACUAUGGGAUUCAACAUAAGCGAUAAUCAAAAUUGGACAGGUAGACGGUUAUGCAAUUCACAGCGCAUUGUCGUUGCUGUAACCUCACAUCACCAAUAAAACCGCCAAAUAAUACAAACUGAAAAAAAACAUUCGCUAGUUACGUCUAUUAGAGUACCACUUACCCAGAAACUCUUUCUCCGUUCAAUUUUUUGUCUUUACCUCUGUGCUAUGAAUAAUAAUUUUCUUCUGUUUCUUUCUUUCCAUCUUUUUACUGAAUAUGGAUUUGUUACAUUGGUGAAAGUAUCUGAAUCUUUCAUUUUGUAUUAGUAUUUGAAAAAAAAAAAUGAUGUAUAGCCAUAAUUUGCAAGUGUCUAAAACCUGGCAUUGGGUAGUCAUCACCCAUAACACCCACCUCCACUGUGGAUAUUGGGCCAGUCACGCAAUACAACUAAAUAUAACAGAUCUAUGAAUGUUUAAAUAUAGAGGAUGUACCAGUAGUAGUCUGUGGUUGCUACCUCAAUAACGUAAAGUCCUGUCCACACGACCGGGCCUGAUCAGCGGACCUCCCCUCUAACGGGCACACUUGAGGGGCAAACCAUCAAAUUGCCCGAUGGGUCUUGUAGCAAAAUCACCAUGGUGGUGCCCGAUGGCUUGAGCUUCGACCCUGAGCCACUCAUUGCACCAAAUUCUCUUCUUUUUUCUUGCUAUAUCUCCUUUGCGGUAGGCACUAUGUUUAUUGUACCGCACUGAAAACACUGCUGGCAUCGUCGGGCACGCCCACCUCUCCAUCGCCUCACCCGUGUGGACAACAUUCACCCGUAAGCCCGCUAGAAUUUGCCCGUCAACACCGGAGCACGCCGAUCAGGCCUGCUCGUGUGGACAGGCCUUAAGGGAACUGGAAAUUUUACUAACCUGCUGAUGUAAAUGGUAGUUUUUUUUUUUUUCCUUUUUUUUUAAAGAGGCAGCUUGCAGAUUAUAGAACACCACUGUAAACACUGUUGCUGAAAUGUUUUGUAUCGAUCUCGUGGACAGUCAUGUCUGUUGAUAAGAUACGAUAACCUAUAGGAAAUACUCAUUCAUGAAUACCGACUUCUUAAGUACUUCUAUUCUAAUAUUUAUUUUACAUAUUUCCUUAAAUGCACAUUUUACACUCAACCCCUAUCGUCAACAACAAAAACUUUACGAUCACUUUCUUAACGCUAUUAGAAUAUGGAGAAUUUCCUCUAUGCCCAAGAAAAAUACCUGCUUCCCACUCCUUCCAUUCCAGUAUUCCCUUACGGUGCGACAUCUGUUGGGUUCCAUUAGUUACUUGUUCAACUGCUUCGGUGUUUCAUAGUCAGCGGAUUCGUGUCUGCUCUCUGAAUGGCCAAGGGAACUGACUUUAGUGCACGAUAGUACAUACACUUUUUUACCAUGUCAUAUACUUUUGUUUUGCUAUAUUUCUAUUAUUAAGUAUCUUCAAGAUCGUGCGAAUUGCUUUUCCUUUGAUACUACUGCCACAGUCAAACUUUUCUGAGAAGGGCCAAAGCUUCCAGGGCAGAGUACCUUCUCAUGUUGCUUUGCCGAAUUUACCUCGCAGUCACACUUACAAGUUCCUCUGAAGGCAGAUUAACGAUUAAUAUCAGGUCAGAAGAGCUUUCAUUGCGCUAGCUACGAUUCUCAUAUUUUGUCGACUAUUUCACGCACAGGUAGAUAAACCGAGUGCCCUUUGAACUGUUCAUCGUCCCAGAAAUAACCCAGACAGUAACGUUAAUGGUUGUAGUUAAGAAAGGUGCACAGUCAGCUACCACUGUUCCAUUGUAUUAGAGUCCCUGGAGACCUAGGGUCGAACUGAGUGUCAAAAACACAGAGACAGCCGUGUGUAUUCCUCGCUGAUAUACUUGAUAGUCUGUCAUUUUGUCUGUGUGAAGUUACUUUUACCUACAGUAAGUAAAAUCUUUCACUAGUGCUGGUUUUACAGUCAGUCAAUUUAUUUGUGAGAGGAAGGCAGUAUCCCUAACCGAGGUGAUUUAUUCUGAGUUCUUAUGCAUUUUCAUGAUUCUAGUUGGGACAUUUCUUAAAUAAAUAUGCUAAUGCAUAUUGCCGUCCCAAUUCCCCUUACGUAAAUGACUAAGUUGGUCCUUAAACAAUUAAACACAUCACCAGUGAUUUAUUAAUACCAGCAAUGAUCAUUAAUGAUAUGUUCUAAUGCGAUUAAUUAAAAUUACAGUUUAGUGAAACGGAAAGCUUGUUGUGGUAUCGGAAUGGUUGAAUUACAGUAGAUCUGUUUUAGAGCAUGAAAAUCCCCAAACGUAAUCCGUUUUGACCAUCAUGAAUGUAAUUUAUCCAAAGUCAAUGAACUGAGCUUAUCCAGGUAUUGCUCGUGACUAGUAUAGCGUGUUGAAAUAUUUUGAUUUAUGCUUUCAUGUAAACUCUGCGACCUACUUGUGUAUAACGCUCCGUAGAGUGUACUUUAGUCUGAGUGAAUUUGGCCUUAAACAACAUUUGUAGCUUAAUGUUUGUGAAUAAAAAAUGUCACGGUGUAUGUAAAAACUGAUACGCGCACUAACACACACACAUGA
Molecule: long non-coding RNA, 6449 nt
Organism: Macrobrachium nipponense
Lineage: Eukaryota; Metazoa; Arthropoda; Malacostraca; Decapoda; Palaemonidae
Exons: 4
Source: RefSeq, a predicted model, not a curated record